Molecule: ribosomal RNA, 40 nt
Filed under: Lactarius sublaccarioides
Lineage: Eukaryota; Fungi; Basidiomycota; Agaricomycetes; Russulales; Russulaceae
Description: partial 28S ribosomal RNA
Source: RNAcentral
UUGACCUCAAAUCGGGUGAGACUACCCGCUGAACUUAACA